This 1976-nucleotide long non-coding RNA is filed under the name Olea europaea subsp. europaea. The record is from RNAcentral. Lineage: Eukaryota; Viridiplantae; Streptophyta; Magnoliopsida; Lamiales; Oleaceae.
CACCAUCACAAAUUCACAAGAUAAUCACAAUCUUUGCAUGCACUGCAUGAGCACGAGCCAUAGCUUGUAUGAUUAUCAAAAAUUAUAUAUCCAAGUACUGUAUACAUCCAUUUGUUUGAUAAAAUAUCAACUUUUUAACUGAACAAAUUUCAAUUUUAAAAAUACAUUUUAUGAAAUUCACAAAUUUUAUCUCUUCAAUCAUGCAUUUUAUAACGAGCUGGGCUUAGGCACAUAGGCUCAAAAAUGCUAGUCUUUUUGUAAUAAUCUAACUUGUACUUCAAAUUGUUAUAUUAUACAUGCUAUUCAUCCUGGUAGAUCAUCUUCCCUUUUAUCCCUCAUGGAUUAAAUCUAACAUGAUUGUCAAAUUGUUAAAUCAUAAUGUAAAACGAUGACGUUCAAAGCAAUUAAUGCUUGAACCUCAUUUUCCCGAAUUAAGUAUUCAAACUAAAAUUUUUUCAGUAUCUUGAUAGACUUUCCUAGUUAGAAAAAUACAUUUUACUACUAAUCUUACACAGAAUAUGUGAGAAAAUAAGCACAUAAGAUAAAAUCACGGAUAAACAUUGUAAAACUCAACAUUUCAUUAUUCAUGAUCUCAACUCCAUUUCUAAACGUUUAUAUCGUUUUUAGUAAAUGCCCUUUUUUUUUCUUUUCUUCCUACAGGAAAUCCAGAACAAAAAAAAUAUCAUUAUUAACCAUAGAAGGUAAUUUUUCUUAAUUUUCCAUAAUAAAUAUGAAAUUUAGCGAAUAAAAAUCAUUGUAAUCGAAAGAUCAACAAAAGAAAUUUUGCAAAAUAACAAUAAAAAAAAAUUGAAAUAUAAGAAUAAAAGACUAAGUCAACAAAUUGUACCUAGUAGUAAAGUCAACCUCUUUCUCCCGUUCGUCGAACCACUGCUAAACUGAACACGUUAAGAGCAAUGUGAGUCAUCUUGGGUAGGCAAAAGCAAUAUUUAUAGGCGUGAAAGCUUACCUGAACCUACCAUUGAUUGCCUAGCUAAAAAAAGCCCCAAUUUAAGGGAUUGUUUCGGAGCUCACACUCAAGUACUUUUGAAUGAUUUGAGUUUUUAUUUCCCUUUUAAUCGUCAUUUCAUUUAACGAAUAGUAAAUAGUAAUCAUUUGUUGUAUAGCAGAAAAAUAAAUCCUGAAUAUAGUAAAUAAUUAUUUAUUUUAUCGUGAAUGUAUAUGUAGUUUUUCUAAUAAUCUAAAAGCAUACAUAUUUCCAAAUUUCCAACGGUUUUUCCAACCUCUCCCAAACAAACCCUAACACUUUUCAAAUUGAUCAUUGUACAUUACAUUGUGAUUGUUGUACAAUAACCAUUUCUAUGGGCAGCCGAGAAGGGACAAGCACAAGUGUGGGUUUUGUAAUGGAGGGACAGAGCGGGUACCAUUUAAAAUUGAAUAAUGCUAUUUAUAGUCGCUAACUGUCGAUAGUCGUCUUACGUGAUAGUUUGUUAUUUGAGUCAUUUAAGACGAUUAUCGAUAUAGAGCGACUACGAAUAGUAUUAUUCUUUAAAAUUAUCUUAAUUGUCUUUUUGUGGGAAGAGGUAAUCUGCGGUUGAGAAAUAGGUGAGGAUGAUCAAAGGGACGGAUAUUAAGACACAAAAUGUUGAUGGUGUGUCUGUGCAGUCUAAAGGGACACGUAAAUCUGCAUGAAUCACAUGGCAAUAUUAUAUAAUAUUAAACAUCGUAUUGUACGUGUUUGAUAGACCCACUCAUUCACAUGCGACAGCGUACGCCCCACGUGAUUUGAUGGAAAAAAACGGAAAUCUGGUUCAAUUAAUGGUGCCCAAACAAAAGCAAUUAUUUUCUUCAAGUUCUCUUUUAUAGUAAGCACUUACUAGAUAAAUUGGAAUUAAUCUAUUUGUAUAUUCUUGGUGUAAAUCUUGGAUGACAAGAGGUGUAAAAAUUGAGGUCAUUGAUUGGUUCAAGUGUUGGACAGAUCAAUGAUAAAACUUAAAACAAUCAAUGACAAAAUUGUG